Molecule: long non-coding RNA, 2525 nt
Filed under: Homo sapiens (human)
Lineage: Eukaryota; Metazoa; Chordata; Mammalia; Primates; Hominidae
Description: HSALNT0183899
Source: RNAcentral
UAAUAAUUGGUUCCGAGGUAAAUUGAUAGAGGAGAUAUAAUGAGGAAUGCUGACUUUGUGUGAUAUUGCUUGGUGCUCCUGUGCAAUGAUUGGAUUUGCAAAGUCCGUGACUCAGCUCGUUCUUUGGGAAGUGAACCCUUAAAAAUUGAGAGCUAAUGAGAGCAGCCGUGUCCCUCUGAUGCCAAGGUUCAGAACCUGGAGCCACGUGGGAGAAAGGCCAUGAGAAAUGGAGAAGAGUCUGCAUCAGAAAUGGCAUGAGGGGCCCUGCAAACUGACCCCAUUCCUUCUGGAAUCGCUUCUCCUCUGGCUGAGAAAGAAACUAAGGCUCAGGGGUGCUCCUAACCGGCCCAAGCCACGGCUGAGAGAGAGUGGGCCAGACAUCUAUAAAGGACGAUGAUGAAAGCCAACCCAGCCCCUGUGACGCCCUUGGUUUUCAUCCAUGGCGUUAAAGCAAGAUAAAGACCUCGCAUGGGAAUAAAGUUUUCUGGGCUUGUAAGGGGAAGGAUGAUAAAUUACACUGUGGAAAACGGGGCCAGUGACUCACAGCUGGAGGUGCUGGGAUGAUCUAGAAGGGCUCAAGAGGCUCCCAUCUCCCAAACUGAAGACCUGGCCCCUCUCCUUCAAGUUUACAGUGGCUGAUGCAGCUGAGCGAGGAGCAGCUCUGGGGCCUGGGAGGGGAACAUCUCACUACAGGCAACGCUGGCUCCCCACUGCUGAAGAAGCUGGAAAUGGAUCUCUGUGGUUUUGAGCCAUUGCAGUUUCAAGUCUGCUGAUGACAGUGGCUGAACCUACACUAACACACAGAAUUCUGCCAACAACAAUAGCUCUGGGACAAAAUACAGACUGCCUUUUACUGAGACAUAUGUGAGGUCUGUGUGCCUGCAAUAGCUUCACCUACAUUCUAAGGCCUGGAAGAGCAGGGCUGUGAUUUGUGCUUCAGUAUUUAGGACAGCAUUUGCCUUUUCCCCUAGUUUAGUUAUGGAAGCAUUUGUGUAAGUCCUGGGUUCCUUCUUCCUUAAAUGUUUGAAAGGAUUCACUGGAAAACCCUUUCUGGCCUGAAUUUGUGUGUGUGAAGGUUUUCAAUCGAGUAUUUAAUUUCUCUAAUGCUUGUUACAAGUGAUCUCUUUGUCUGAUUAUUCUAUGUCAUUCUAAAGCACAAUCUUUAAAAAGUUGUGCUUUUCUGGGAAUCUGUCUGUCUUAUCUAAUGAUGCAAAUUCACUGACAUAAAGUUGUUCUGUUAUUAGAGAUUUUAUGAGCUGUGUGGUCUGUACUGAUGUUGCCUUCCAUGUUAUCUUGGUAGCUGAAAUUGUCUUUUUUCUUUUCUUUUUCAAAAAAAUCAGACUCUCCAGGGGUUUAUUUAAUUAAUUAUUCAAUUAAUUUGUUUUAAGAAACAACUCUUGACUUGAUUGACUGUCUCUACUAAACACUUGCUUCUAUUUCACUGAUUUCUGCCUGUGCACUUAUGUUGUUUUCUAAUUCUUGUACUGAAGCACUUAGCAUGGUGCCGGGUAGAGAGUAACUUAAACGUUAGCAUCACCACUGUAAAGAAAAGCCUCAACUCAGGGUGUCUGUUAUAAGAGAUUGUUAAACAUUAGAACUUUCACAACUUCUUUGGUGAUGAGGUCUCAGAAAACAUUAAAUCCAUUUGACCCAUUCAAACUUUUACUAUUAUCAUUAUACAUUAAAUCCAUGUAUAUUUGAAAGCAUAUGAAUAUAUAUAUUUGAAAACAUACAAAUAAAUAUAAAUUUAUUAAUAUAAUAUGUAUUUGUAUUUAAUAUACAUAUAUUCUUUUCAUUACUUAUUAUUCCUUAUCUUUGUGCUUCCACCUGGAGAUAUAAUCCCUCUGCUGAAAAAUCCCCUUAGUAUUUUAUUUACUGUAGAUCUUUCAGUAGUAAAUGAUCUCCAUUUAUGUGUAUGUAAAAAUGUUUACUUUCACCUUCACGUCUGAAGCAUUGGGCAGAAACUUCCUUUUACUACUUUGAAGUGGUUAUUCAUUGCCUUCUAGCUUGUAUUAUUCUGCUGAAGCAUUAGCUAAUUGUAUUAUUGUUGCUUGUUUGGGAGGAAAUUGCUUUUCUUUGUUUGCUCUUAAGUUCUAGUAUUUGAAAGUACAAUAGGAAAAUUACAGCAACUAUAAUACAAUUUUUUAGUAAAUAUAGUACAAUUUUUCUCUUCUAGUUAUUUUGAAAUAUAUAAUAAAUAAGACAUAAUACAUGUACAGAAUGUGUAAUGACCACAUCAGCAUAAUCGGGAUCUCCAUCACCUCAGACAUUUAUAUUUUGUUUGUGUUGGGAACGUUACUAUUUUUCUCUUCUAGUUAUUUUGAAUGUAUAAUAAAUAAUAAUUAUAUAUUUAAAAUAUUGUGUAUAAUAAUUAUAUUUGUCAAAAUAACUAGAAAAGAAAAAUUGAAAGUUUCCAACACGAAGAAAAUGUGUCUGAGGUGAUGGAGAUCCCGAUUACACUGAUGUGGUCAUUACAUGUUCUGUACGUGUAUCACAACCAUAUGUAUCCCCAAAAUACGUAAAAC